AUUGAACGCUGGCGGCAGGCCUAACACAUGCAAGUCGAACGGUAACAGGAAGCAGCUUGCUGCUUCGCUGACGAGUGGCGGACGGGUGAGUAAUGUCUGGGAAACUGCCUGAUGGAGGGGGAUAACUACUGGAAACGGUAGCUAAUACCGCAUAACGUCGCAAGACCAAAGAGGGGGACCUUAGGGCCUCUUGCCAUCGGAUGUGCCCAGAUGGGAUUAGCUAGUAGGUGGGGUAACGGCUCACCUAGGCGACGAUCCCUAGCUGGUCUGAGAGGAUGACCAGCCACACUGGAACUGAGACACGGUCCAGACUCCUACGGGAGGCAGCAGUGGGGAAUAUUGCACAAUGGGCGCAAGCCUGAUGCAGCCAUGCCGCGUGUAUGAAGAAGGCCUUCGGGUUGUAAAGUACUUUCAGCGGGGAGGAAGGGAGUAAAGUUAAUACCUUUGCCCAUUGACGUUACCCGCAGAAGAAGCACCGGCUAACUCCGUG
Molecule: ribosomal RNA, 490 nt
Filed under: uncultured bacterium
Lineage: Bacteria
Description: partial 16S ribosomal RNA
Rfam family: Bacterial small subunit ribosomal RNA
Source: RNAcentral